RNAcentral lists this ribosomal RNA (238 nucleotides) under uncultured bacterium. RNAcentral describes it as "partial 16S ribosomal RNA". It matches the Rfam family "Bacterial small subunit ribosomal RNA", at positions 95 to 334 of the family's 1533-position model. The record is from RNAcentral.
AUGGCGCACGGGUGAGUAACACGUGGGGUAACCUGCCCUGAAGCGGGGGACAACUACGGGAAACUGUAGCUAAUACCGCAUAAGACCACGAGCUGAAAUGCUAGUGGUAAAAGAUUUAUCACUUCAGGAUGGGCCCGCGCCCUAUCAGGUAGUUGGUGAGGUAACGGCUCACCAAGCCGAUGACGGGUAGCCGGUCUGAGAGGAUGAACGGCCGCACUGGAACUGAGACACGGUCCAG